CUCUCCACUGACCUUUGUGACCCUUUUUUGACCAAGAAACAAGGCAACUUCUCCACACACACCUACCGCUGUGGCGGGUGUUUUUGUACAGGUAGAUGACAAGACUAUGACUCCUCCCACCUCCACGAUGUGUUUGAAGAGAUGUUUCUCCAUAUCCCCUGCAGGAAUGCUCUGAACAUUGCCUUACUCCUAAUCUAGUCUUGCCUGAGGAGACCAGAAGUCUACUGAUUCACUGUUCCUUUUAGCAUGAGGAAAAGGAUGCUGCCCGAGAAGAGCUGGGAAGAAUGUAUUUGCUGGUCCUUAUGCAGAAACAGGAAGCUGUAUUCCAAUGCUCUUUACAGCUGCUGUGGAGAUAACCUUUUUCUGUCUGGAAAGAUGAAAAACGGGACGGAAAGGCGCCUCCCCAGGUGCUGAUCAAUUAGAAGUAACAUUGCUCACAGCAGCAGUGCAGCCAUACUUCAGUAAUCAUCCAGUUCCAAGGACUGAUGGAGUAAAGAUAUGUUGCCAAAACAUGCAUCUGAGCAUGCAGGAGAAAUUUUAGAAGGCACUGCAAGACUGCAGCACUUACAUGCAAGCUCAUCUGCAGGGGACUCUGUGCAGCAGUGACACCCCGGUCAGGCAGAAGUGGCUCACCAGCCAAGAUCCCCAGCUGACCAGAGCAAACGCCUGUGGUCAAAACAUCGGAUGCAGCCUCCGAGGAAAGGGGACCACAUUGAUUCACUAAAACUUCAGGUGUGGUAGCUGAGCAUUCUGAACUCACGUAUAACUUAAGUUUCCUACAUUGUUCACAGAGGACACUUCUUAAUCAGGCAGGAGUAAAGACCAGGGUCUGGAUUUUUAUUUAUUUAUUUUUUUUGAGGCCACUUAAACAAUAAUCCUAAUUCCGUUAGGAUUAAUCUCCUUUUAAUGCACAUUUUGUGACACUUCUCCCCUCCUCCCCCAUCCAAGAUAGGGAAUUACAGAGAUGUUAAUUUAAGCCCUUGUUUCCUAUUGUUCGCCAGCAUUUAGUGAGUAUAACUGUCUCACUGAGGUCAGUGCUGCUUUUCAUUGUCCUCUGUGGGAGUUAUUUACAUAAAAGGACAAGUAUAAGGCUGCUGUUGAGUCUCACUGUACAUCUUCUCAAUCUGUUCUAAUAUUAAACUAUUUAACUCCCCGAUUUUGAUACAGAUUAGUUCUUCUUCUUUCAGUCCAUUUGCAGAUUAAGUAUGGAAAUAGAGAAGUACAUUUUCCAGGGUGCUAUUACUAUUUAACUUCCAAAUCAGCAUUACCCUGUCUUAAGACAUGGACUUUUUGAAAGUUAAACAAACAAUCUUUUAUCUUCCUCAUUGGCUUAUCAAUCUGAAUGCAAAAUUGUGAAUACAGUGGAUUUUAAGAACAUUUGCCUUAUGUUUAUGCUCCUGACAUUUUGAAAUAGGCCCAAAUCCAGACUGCACUGUGAAAAUGAACAAUGAAAUUAAAUUGUGCCCUAUUUUUCUCCACUUUCACACAUUGUCUGAAACUGCAUGUAAAGAGAAAUUAACUAACAUAAUAAUUCUAAUGAGUAUAGCACCAAGAUGCAAUGUGUAAAAAAUAUAUAAGCAAUUAAGACUGGUAAAAACAAAAGAAAAUUAAUGUAAUGAAACAGAUGUGCUAUAACAUAGAAGAUGGGGUGAUGUCCCAAGUCUUGUUGCUUUUGAUCUUAAUUAAACAGCCUCAAAAAUCAUUCCUUCAUACAGCUGUUUGCUAUAUUGCAUUGAUUACCUGCUUUUUUGAGAGGUAUUAGCAGAUUCAAAGAAGAAAAUACAGGCUAUGUGUUUUCUAUGUAUAGAACAGACUAUGAUCCUGUCAGUCUACUAUUGCAUCGUCUACAGCCAAUUUAAAUCUUCCUGGGACAAUGAAAUACCAACUAAGUAUACUUGGCUCACCUUUAGUAGGUAAUAGGCAUACCAGAUAGAUAAUCAACAGUGAUCUGCAUUAAUCUGUGUAGCAAAGCUUGUACAUGACUCUGAAGGUAGUUAAAACUUGAUGCGAGAUCAGUGUUUCUUGUAAGAGUAAUUUGGCCAAACUCAAUCUGAAGUAAAAGAAACUAUUUUCUCCCUUAACAGGAAAAAAAAUAAAAGUCUUCUAGGAAGGAAAGGGCACAAUCUGCACAGCACCAAUCCUCAACAACACAUCACACUGCAAUCAUCGGGGAAUGUCAUAGCUGUGUAAAAAGUUAAGCUAUAACUUGUUACUUUUACUGGGCUGUUUACCCCUUAAUUUCUUACACAUUGUACAAUCAGGAGGCAGAGGUAGCCCAACCAAGUACGGAAAAAUUGCCUUGUUAUCUAAACUUGGAGCAGUUCUGCUUACCUUUUAUCAUUUCACUGAUGCAAUCAGGAUAUUUGCAAAUAUUGGAAACUGAAGAAAAUUGCAACGAUGGGGAACAAUAAUUAUGAGCACUAUGAAGUUAAGAGAUUCUGCAGAAUGAGGAACGUACACGAUGUAGUUACUUAAAAUACUCAAUGAUUUGAAUUAUAAAUAAAUCCAAGGAGAAUUUAGCCAACGUGGAGACUACACUUUAUCUGAAAGCAAGAAGAUAUUAAUUUUUUGGGGAGGAGGAAGGGGAGGAAUAGAGAAGUGGUGGGAAGAAAACAUGAUAACGUUCUGAAAUAUCUUGAUUACCUGCAUCUAAAGUAAAAAUACUAGUCUAGGGACUAAAGGGAGGGAAGUACAUAGUUUCACACCUUGGUAUGCCAGCCUGACAAAUUUGGAAUAUAUGCACUGUUGAAUGGCCAAAAUGGUUUUGAUAUAUUUAACCUGCUUAAAACAUAUGAUCAGACUUCACAUUCAUGGUAUUUGUUUUUGAAUACCACACAGAAAAUAAUAAUAAAAAGAACAGGGAACAACUUUCCAUGGAUGAGACUUCCAUAUUUAUUGUUCUUCCGUGUGCAUAGAAAAUGGCAGUGAAGUUUUUUAUGAAAUAGACAAGGAAUGGGAGAGGUGUAGAUAUACUGAACUAGACUUUGUGCUUCAAAAUUACACUAUUAAUUUAAUUUUUUUUUUAAUUUAUAACAUUUUCUUGGAUUUUUUUUUGUGCAUGAUGUUUCAAAUUCCUUUUAAA
Long non-coding RNA from Cygnus atratus (black swan), 3082 nucleotides. RefSeq lists it as uncharacterized. The transcript has 6 exons. The record is from RefSeq and is a predicted model, not a curated record. NCBI's taxonomy places the organism in Eukaryota, Metazoa, Chordata, Aves, Anseriformes, Anatidae.